Molecule: ribosomal RNA, 109 nt
Filed under: Fasciola gigantica
Lineage: Eukaryota; Metazoa; Platyhelminthes; Trematoda; Plagiorchiida; Fasciolidae
Source: RNAcentral
GCGAACAUACCACGGUGAGAGCACCGGUUCUCGACUGACCACCAAAGUUAAGCAGUGACGGACCCGGUUAUUACCAGGUGUUGCGGCCGUUCCUUUGCCUCUAAAUGUU